This 716-nucleotide ribosomal RNA is filed under the name Pseudoalteromonas sp. SC-D1-15. RNAcentral describes it as "bacterial SSU rRNA". It matches the Rfam family "Bacterial small subunit ribosomal RNA", at positions 52 to 755 of the family's 1533-position model. Lineage: Bacteria; Pseudomonadati; Pseudomonadota; Gammaproteobacteria; Alteromonadales; Pseudoalteromonadaceae. The record is from RNAcentral.
CACAUGCAAGUCGAGCGGAAACGAAGAGGUGCUUGCACCUCUGGCGUCGAGCGGCGGACGGGUGAGUAAUGCUUGGGAAUAUGCCUUAUGGUGGGGGACAACAGUUGGAAACGACUGCUAAUACCGCAUGAUGUCUACGGACCAAAGUGGGGGACCUUCGGGCCUCACGCCAUAAGAUUAGCCCAAGUGGGAUUAGCUAGUUGGUGAGGUAAUGGCUCACCAAGGCGACGAUCCCUAGCUGGUUUGAGAGGAUGAUCAGCCACACUGGGACUGAGACACGGCCCAGACUCCUACGGGAGGCAGCAGUGGGGAAUAUUGCACAAUGGGCGCAAGCCUGAUGCAGCCAUGCCGCGUGUGUGAAGAAGGCCUUCGGGUUGUAAAGCACUUUCAGUAAGGAGGAAAGGUUAAGUGUUAAUAGCACUUAGCUGUGACGUUACUUACAGAAGAAGCACCGGCUAACUCCGUGCCAGCAGCCGCGGUAAUACGGAGGGUGCGAGCGUUAAUCGGAAUUACUGGGCGUAAAGCGUACGCAGGCGGUUUGUUAAGCGAGAUGUGAAAGCCCCGGGCUCAACCUGGGAACUGCAUUUCGAACUGGGCAAACUAGAGUGUGAUAGAGGGUGGUAGAAUUUCAGGUGUAGCGGUGAAAUGCGUAAAGAUCUGAAGGAAUACCGAUGGCGAAGGCAGCCACCUGCGUCAACACUUGACCCUCAUGUACG